Molecule: ribosomal RNA, 406 nt
Filed under: uncultured bacterium
Lineage: Bacteria
Description: partial 16S ribosomal RNA
Rfam family: Bacterial small subunit ribosomal RNA
Source: RNAcentral
AUUGAACGCUGGCGGCAGGCCUAACACAUGCAAGUCGAACGAGUGGCGGACGGGUGAGUAAUGUCUGGGAAACUGCCUGAUGGAGGGGGAUAACUACUGGAAACGGUAGCUAAUACCGCAUACCAUCGGAUGUGCCCAGAUGGGAUUGGCUAGUAGGUGGGGUAAAGGCUCACCUAGGCGACGAUCCCUAGCUGGUCUGAGAGGAUGAACGGCCACACGGGAACUGAGACACGGUCCGGAUUCCUACGGGAGGAAGCAGGGGGGAAUAUUGCACAAGGGGCGCAAGCCUGAUGCAGCCAUGCCGCGGGUAUGAAGAAGGCCUUCGGGUGGUAAAGUACGUUCAGCGGGGAGGCGUUACCCGCAGAAGAAGCACCGGCUAACUCCGUGCCAGCAGCCGCGGUAAUAC